CGGGGGGGCAAGCGUUGUUCGGAAUUACUGGGCGUAAAGGGCUCGGUAGGCGGCCAACUAAAGUCGGAUGUGAAAUCCCCAGGCUUAACCUGGGAACUGCACCCGAUACUGGAUGGCUUGAAUCCGGGAGAGGGAUGCGGAAUUCCAGGUGUAGCGGUGAAAUGCGUAGAUAUCUGGAGGAACGCCGGUGGCGAAGGCGGCAUCCUGGACCGGCAUUGACGCUGAGGAGCGAAAGCCAGGGGAGCAAACGGGAUUAGAUACCCCGGUAGUCCUGGCCCUAAACGAUGAAUGCUUGGUGUGACGGGUAUCGAUCCCUGUCGUGCCGAAGCUAACGCAUUAAGCAUUCCGCCUGGGGAGUACGGUCGCAAGGCUG
RNAcentral lists this ribosomal RNA (373 nucleotides) under uncultured organism. RNAcentral describes it as "bacterial SSU rRNA". It matches the Rfam family "Bacterial small subunit ribosomal RNA", at positions 527 to 896 of the family's 1533-position model. The record is from RNAcentral.